CUGUAGUCUGGAAUCCUACGUGUACAAUUUACUGUAUAAUGUGCCGCUGCCGUUAAAUCCUUGAAGUUCUUCGUUCGAUGUUCGGUGUUAACCGCCAUUAAACCAUAAGUGCUUUAACAAGUUUUAACAACGCUUCGACAGACGAUCGAAUUCGCUUCGAGCAUAUCGCUAAAUUUGAACCGAGUGCUUUCUAUACCCAAAUAUCUAGUGGCCAGUCUCGCAGGCGAACCUCUGUUAUGUAUAUAUAGAUAAGCAAAGUAGCCAAUUCCCGGAACAGUUACCUGUGUCUCCUCACAAAGUGCAGUUUAUCACUGAGAUUAGGGUGCUUCUAAACAAGUAAAAAGUACCACAUUCGGGAAAGACUGAUAACAUGGUCUUAAAUUAUUACGACGGCGAAAUCAUGACUAGUAGCUUGACGCUUCCUGGUUCCGGUUUUUACCUUCUUCGCAGAGAAUAUUCUCUGCAUGAUGUACUAGAUUGGGACCGAACGGAGCCAUACCCAUAGUCGGACAACUUGCAAAGGAUAGUGGACAUUGUUAAAAGAUCAGUAAACGUAGAUGUUAUUAAUUCCGUGGAGGAUACUACAAACAACAAGAUGCUCACACCGCAGGAAGACUACUAAGAGACUCUCGUCUUCAAUAACGCUAUCAGGAAAAUGAUUUCUGAACCGUUUUGUACAAAUGUUUUCUAAUUACGAGCACUUCGUCAUACAGCCAAGUCAGCAUUGGAAGAUAAGCAUGAGUGGAUCAAUAACAGAGAUAGGAUGGACAGGAUACGUUUUCGACAAGACUACGUUUUUAUCCUACCAAUCUACGCAGCAUUUACUGUUCAUCUACUCGAGAUUCCUCAAGACGCAGAUGUUCGCCUCUCUCGUCGACAGUAAAGUGAUGUCGACGUGGAGCGAGCUCGAUUUCAACAUAAAGGUCUUCGUCCAAAGGAUUUCUCUUAUAAAGAAGAAAAUCAGGUGGAGCAUCAUACGAUCGAUGAGGUACGAGCCUUCCACGAGCAUGGCGGAUACGCAACAAGUACUGGAGCAAAGGUUAACGAACGUGGACUUCGAGACGAAUCCGCCCACGGAAAUUUUCCCACAUCGAGCGGCAUAUUUUCGGAGCUUUUCUCUGCUGGAUAGCGUCGUGUUGAAUAAAGAACCCGCUCAGAGUAUUCUCUGCAGUCGGAGGGGCCAGACGCAGUGGAAAUACAAGAUGAAAUCCAUGGACGCUAACGGAAAGCUCGCGACACCUUAGGAACCUGUCGCCUCGACCUCAGACUAAAUUCUCGCCAGACAUGAGUCCGGCUCUGAUAACUGGACGCAAGCCAAUUGGGCGUUCGUCGAAAAAUUGCUCAAAUAUGCAUUAUACCGUAUGAUAGAUAUUUGACGAUUAUCUCAGACGAUGCUUCUAAGACAUCUUUUCAUGUAGUUGUACUGUCUGGAUGUUACAUCGAAUAUCUUGGUUAUUUGUUAUAUAUAUUGUAAAUCUAUGACGAAGAGGAUGCUGGUAGAGGAAAUGGGGUCGGGAGCCACUUGCGCUGGGCCACUGCGGCGAAUCUCUGUCCGAUGUUGAGGAGGACACUAGUCGCUAGUCCCUGUGAUCUGCUGAAACGAGUGUGGAGCCAUGCUUCAUUUAAGGCAAUGAAGUAUAAAAACUUGACUGAAGAGUCGAAUCAAACCAUUUGACUGACACGUUACUUUGAAAAUGUGUGAAGAGUAUAUGCAUAUGUGUUUCUGAGUGAUUGUUGUAUGACGCAUGAUAUCUGGCAUCUGCAUCUACAUCAUUGUAAAAAUAUACAAUGAAUAUAACGAAAUGAAUAUGAUUGUGUUUGUUGAGCAGAAUAAUGUUUA
Molecule: RNA transcript, 1840 nt
Organism: Harpegnathos saltator (Jerdon's jumping ant)
Lineage: Eukaryota; Metazoa; Arthropoda; Insecta; Hymenoptera; Formicidae
Gene name: DENN domain-containing protein 5B-like
Exons: 10
Source: RefSeq, a predicted model, not a curated record